RNAcentral lists this ribosomal RNA (206 nucleotides) under uncultured bacterium. RNAcentral's name for it is "partial 16S ribosomal RNA". It matches the Rfam family "Bacterial small subunit ribosomal RNA", at positions 568 to 774 of the family's 1533-position model. The record is from RNAcentral.
CAUGUAGGCGGAUUAAUAAGUUUGAAGUGAAAUCCUAUAGCUUAACUAUAGAACUGCUUUGAAAACUGUUAAUCUAGAAUGUGGGAGAGGUAGAUGGAAUUUCUGGUAUAGGGUAAAAUCCGUAGAGAUCAGAAGGAAUACCGAUUGCGAAGGCGAUCUACUGGAACAUUAUUGACGCUGAGAUGCGAAAGCGUGGGGAGCAAACA